RNAcentral lists this ribosomal RNA (497 nucleotides) under uncultured bacterium. RNAcentral's name for it is "partial 16S ribosomal RNA". It matches the Rfam family "Bacterial small subunit ribosomal RNA", at positions 28 to 507 of the family's 1533-position model. The record is from RNAcentral.
GACGAACGCUGGCGGCGUGCCUAAUACAUGCAAGUUGAGCGCUGAAGGUUGGUACUUGUACCAACUGGAUGAGCAGCGAACGGGUGAGUAACGCGUGGGGAAUCUGCCUUUGAGCGGGGGACAACAUUUGGAAACGAAUGCUAAUACCGCAUAAAAACUUUAAACACAAGUUUUAAGUUUGAAAGAUGCAAUUGCAACACUCAAAGAUGAUCCCGCGUUGUAUUAGCUAGUUGGUGAGGUAAAGGCUCACCAAGGCGAUGAUACAUAGCCGACCUGAGAGGGUGAUCGGCCACAUUGGGACUGAGACACGGCCCAAACUCCUACGGGAGGCAGCAGUAGGGAAUCUUCGGCAAUGGACGAAAGUCUGACCGAGCAACGCCGCGUGAGUGAAGAAGGUUUUCGGAUCGUAAAACUCUGUUGGUAGAGAAGAACGUUGGUGAGAGUGGAAAGCUCAUCAAGUGACGGUAACUACACAGAAAGGGACGGCUAACUACGUG